RNAcentral lists this ribosomal RNA (327 nucleotides) under uncultured eukaryote. Its description in RNAcentral is "partial 18S ribosomal RNA". It matches the Rfam family "Eukaryotic small subunit ribosomal RNA", at positions 1470 to 1796 of the family's 1831-position model. The record is from RNAcentral.
CCCUUAGAUGUCCUGGGCCGCACGCGCGCUACACUGACGGAGCCAGCGAGCUUACCCCUUUGCCGAAAGGCAUGGGAAAUCUUUUGAAUCUCCGUCGUGCUGGGGAUAGAUCAUUGCAAUUAUUGAUCUUGAACGAGGAAUGCCUAGUAGGCGCAAGUCAUCAGCUUGCGUCGAUUACGUCCCUGCCCUUUGUACACACCGCCCGUCGCUCCUACCGAUUGGGUGUGCUGGUGAAAUGUUCGGAUCGGCCGUUUGUCGCGGUUUCCGCGUCAUGUGGCUGAGAAGUUCAUUAAACCCUCCCACCUAGAGGAAGGAGAAGUCGUAACA